AUUGAACGCUGGCGGCAUGCUUUACACAUGCAAGUCGAACGGUAACAGGGGCUUCGGCCCGCUGACGAGUGGCGAACGGGUGAGUAAUGUAUCGGAACGUGCCCAGUAGUGGGGGAUAACUACUCGAAAGAGUAGCUAAUACCGCAUGAGAACUGAGGUUGAAAGCGGGGGAUCUUCGGACCUCGCGCUACUGGAGCGGCUGAUAUCAGAUUAGGUAGUUGGUGAGGUAAAGGCUUACCAAGCCUGCGAUCUGUAGCUGGUCUGAGAGGACGACCAGCCACACUGGGACUGAGACACGGCCCAGACUCCUACGGGAGGCAGCAGUGGGGAAUCUUGGACAAUGGGCGCAAGCCUGAUCCAGCAAUGCCGCGUGCAGGACGAAGGCCUUCGGGUUGUAAACUGCUUUUGUACAGAACGAAAUGUCUCUGGCUAAUACCUGGGGAAGAUGACGGUACUGUAAGAAUAAGCACCGGCUAACUACGUGCCAGCCGCCGCGGUAA
RNAcentral lists this ribosomal RNA (500 nucleotides) under uncultured bacterium. RNAcentral's name for it is "partial 16S ribosomal RNA". It matches the Rfam family "Bacterial small subunit ribosomal RNA", at positions 30 to 523 of the family's 1533-position model. The record is from RNAcentral.